UACGGAGGAUGCAAGCGUUAUCCGGAAUGAUUGGGCGUAAAGGGUCCGCAGGUGGCAAUGUAAGUCUGCUGUCAAAGAAUGAGGCUUAACCUCAUCAAGGCAGUGGAAACUACAUAGCUAGAGUACGGUCGGGGUAGAAGGAAUUCCUGGUGUAGCGGUGAAAUGCGUAGAGAUCAGGAAGAACACCGAUGGCGAAAGCGUUCUGCUAGACCUGUACUGACACUGAGGGACGAAAGCUAGGGGAGCGAAUGGG
RNAcentral lists this ribosomal RNA (253 nucleotides) under uncultured bacterium. RNAcentral describes it as "partial 16S ribosomal RNA". It matches the Rfam family "Bacterial small subunit ribosomal RNA", at positions 524 to 776 of the family's 1533-position model. The record is from RNAcentral.